UACGGAGGGUGCAAGCGUUAAUCGGAAUUACUGGGCGUAAAGCGCACGCAGGUGGCUGAGUCAGUCGAUUGUGAAAGCCCUGGGCUUAACCUGGGAAUUGCGGUCGAUACUACUCAGCUAGAGUAUGGGAGAGGGCAGUGGAAUUCCCGGUGUAGCGGUGAAAUGCGUAGAUAUCUGGAGGAACACCGGUGGCGAAGGCGGCGUCCUGGACCAACACUGACACUGAGGAGCGAAAGCCAGGGGAGCAAACGGG
This 253-nucleotide ribosomal RNA is filed under the name uncultured bacterium. RNAcentral describes it as "partial 16S ribosomal RNA". It matches the Rfam family "Bacterial small subunit ribosomal RNA", at positions 524 to 776 of the family's 1533-position model. The record is from RNAcentral.